This 578-nucleotide ribosomal RNA is filed under the name uncultured bacterium. RNAcentral describes it as "bacterial SSU rRNA". It matches the Rfam family "Bacterial small subunit ribosomal RNA", at positions 102 to 694 of the family's 1533-position model. The record is from RNAcentral.
ACGGGUGAGUAACACGUGGGCAAUCUGCCCUUCACUCUGGGACAAGCCCUGGAAACGGGGUCUAAUACCGGAUAACACUCUCGCAGGCAUCUGCGAGGGUUAAAAGCUCCGGCGGUGAAGGAUGAGCCCGCGGCCUAUCAGCUUGUUGGUGAGGUAAUGGCUCACCAAGGCGACGACGGGUAGCCGGCCUGAGAGGGCGACCGGCCACACUGGGACUGAGACACGGCCCAGACUCCUACGGGAGGCAGCAGUGGGGAAUAUUGCACAAUGGGCGAAAGCCUGAUGCAGCGACGCCGCGUGAGGGAUGACGGCCUUCGGGUUGUAAACCUCUUUCAGCAGGGAAGAAGCGAAAGUGACGGUACCUGCAGAAGAAGCGCCGGCUAACUACGUGCCAGCAGCCGCGGUAAUACGUAGGGCGCAAGCGUUGUCCGGAAUUAUUGGGCGUAAAGAGCUCGUAGGCGGCUUGUCACGUCGAUUGUGAAAGCCCGAGGCUUAACCUCGGGUCUGCAGUCGAUACGGGCUAGCUAGAGUGUGGUAGGGGAGAUCGGAAUUCCUGGUGUAGCGGUGAAAUGCGCAGA